Molecule: ribosomal RNA, 359 nt
Filed under: Ceratogramma A090
Lineage: Eukaryota; Metazoa; Arthropoda; Insecta; Hymenoptera; Trichogrammatidae
Description: eukaryotic LSU rRNA
Rfam family: Eukaryotic large subunit ribosomal RNA
Source: RNAcentral
AGGACCCGUCUUGAAACACGGACCAAGGAGUCUAACAUGUGCGCGAGUCAUUGGGACUUGUUCGAAGCCUAAAGGCGCAAUGAAAGUGAAGGUCCUCCGCUUUAUGCGCGACCGAGGGAGGAUGGCUCGCGUCACGAUGCGAGUCCGCACUCCCGGGGCGUCUCGUGCUCAUUGCGAGCUGAGGCGCACCCAGAGCGUACACGUUGGGACCCGAAAGAUGGUGAACUAUGCCUGGUCAGGACGAAGUCAGGGGAAACCCUGAUGGAGGUCCGUAGCGAUUCUGACGUGCAAAUCGAUCGUCGGAACUGGGUAUAGGGGCGAAAGACUAAUCGAACCAUCUAGUAGCUGGUUCCCUCCGA